RNAcentral lists this transfer RNA (76 nucleotides) under Actinomycetes bacterium. RNAcentral's name for it is "tRNA-Trp". It matches the Rfam family "tRNA". Rfam says of the family: Transfer RNA (tRNA) molecules are approximately 80 nucleotides in length. Their secondary structure includes four short double-helical elements and three loops (D, anti-codon, and T loops). The record is from RNAcentral. Lineage: Bacteria; Bacillati; Actinomycetota; Actinomycetes.
GGGUCGGUGGUGUAAUCGGUAACACGCCGGUCUCCAAAACCGGAUGAUGGGGGUUCGACUCCUUCCCGGCCCGCCA